This 446-nucleotide ribosomal RNA is filed under the name uncultured bacterium. RNAcentral describes it as "partial 16S ribosomal RNA". It matches the Rfam family "Bacterial small subunit ribosomal RNA", at positions 338 to 795 of the family's 1533-position model. The record is from RNAcentral.
CCUACGGGUGGCAGCAGUCGAGAAUCAUUCACAAUGGAGGAAACUCUGAUGGUGCGACGCCGCGUGAGGGAAUGAAGGUCUUCGGAUUGUAAACUCCUGUCAUGUGGGAGCAAAAUAAAGUGAGUGUACGACCUUAGGUAGACACUGCUAACUUUGUGCCAGCAGCCGCGGUACUACAGAGGUCGCAAGCGUUGUUCGGAGUGACUGGGCGUAAAGCGUGCGUAGGCUGUUUAGUAAGUCGUGUGUGAAAGGCGCGGGCUCAACCCGAGGACGGCACAUGAAACUGUGAGACUAGAGUAAAGGAGGGGGAACCGGAAUUCUCGGUGUAGCAGUGAAAUGCGUAGAUAUCGAGAGGAACACUCGUGGCGAAGGCGGGUCCCUGGACAGUAACUGACGCUGAGGCUCGAAGGCCUGGGGAGCGAACGGGAUUAGAUACCCUGGUAGUC